RNAcentral lists this long non-coding RNA (1233 nucleotides) under Pogona vitticeps (central bearded dragon). RNAcentral describes it as "lncRNA (ENSPVIG00000006260.1)". Lineage: Eukaryota; Metazoa; Chordata; Lepidosauria; Squamata; Agamidae. The record is from RNAcentral.
AUGAAUGCACACCCCCAAGCAACCCUCUUCCUCCUCCUCAUCCAGGAUUUGGCUUUCCAGCUGCAGCUUUGCAGCCCUCCAGGGCAAUUCCGGGGGACGCUGAGAGCAGACCCCAUGGCUGCUCAGUGGGUUGGCCUUCUAGAAGGGAGUCGCCGCCCCCCCCCACCUGCCCGGGGUCUGUCCCUCGAGCAGAGGAGUGUCUUGCCCAAGGUGGCCUCCCUUGGGUGGUGGCGGCUGCUUUGGGAAGAGGCAGGCGGGCGGGCGCGCAGGAGGCCUGUGUGUGUUUUAGCCUCUGAGAAUCAAUUAGCCCUGCCUCAGAGGGUGAUUUAUGGCAUGCCUUCCAGGGACUCUGCUUUGAUUCGCCUUAUUAGGGCCGCAGCAGCCUUUGGCAAAAGGCAAGGAGGAUUAAGGGUGGGUGGAAAACAGCUGGCGCACGCAGAGGAGCGAGAGCGAGCCGAGAGCAAAAGCAGGCAGGCCUGCCCUCACCUCCUCACCUUUCCCGGAGUGGGAAAGAAAGGCGUACAUAAGCCCCCCCCCGUCACCAUCAAGUCAAGGUCCAUAAAGCCUUCUCAUCCAUGCCCGUCGUUUGGGCAAAAGGCACUUAAGGCAGGAUCCGUGCGGCUUCCAAGGGGGCUUCACGCCUGCCACCCCUUUCCGGUCCUCCCCGCUGCGUUUCCCUGCUUGGCAAAGGGAGCACGGCUGACGGUCUUUCCAGAAAGGCACACCGAAAAAAGGGUGACGCUGGGAAAGCAGCCGAAGCAGAGAGACCCCGCGGCAGGUCCCGAUCCAGGUGCAAAGAGCAGGCCUCGGCCUUCCUCCUCUUCCAGCGAGGACGGCCCGGCAGACGCUGCUCCUCCCCUGAGAUUUUGGGGCCCAAAGCUUUCGCCUCCGCAGGCUGGGAAGGGGCAAAAGACCAUCGGGCCCGAGACCGACGGUGUGGCUUUCCUGAGCUCCCUCCAAAAACAAGGAGGAUGCCUGCGGGCAUCUGCUGAAAGAGGGCGGGUGGGCACCAACGAUGACGACUCCGGGGGCCGGGAGGGGGACGACCCCCACUUUGGAAAUCAAGUCAGCUCAAGCUUUUCCCAGGACUGCUCCCCCCCUGGAGACCUGGGGGGACAGGGCAGCACCUCGGAGGCUCCAGCCGGUGCCACGGGAGCGGACGGCAACGCUCCCCCCGCUCCCCCCACCCCACCAGAGAGUUUGUCCUCCAUUGUGCAACGACAGCCACGAUGA